AAAAAAAAAAAAGAAAAAAAAAAUUAAAACCAUUCUUCAUAGACCAAAUCAAUGGUUUCAUCUCUGCAGAAACAAUUUUUCACACAUCAGAAUAACAAAAGCAUAAUGGGUUGUUGUUGGUGGAAGCGAUGCCUUCUCCCUUAAGGCAUCAGCUAAAUCACAAUUUUGUGAUACAGAAACUUAUUCUGGUUCUGCUUCACAUCUUGAAACUUAUUUAUUCAUUCAUCUGAAGCUGAUUUCUUCUAACUUACCUCUUUUUCUCUUUUUCCCCAAUGCUUUAACAUCCCGUGACUUGUGUGUUUAAGCCCUGGCUUCAUUACUGGGAUGUGGGAGGGAACGAGAAGUCUCCAAUUUGCUGCUAUCUCAUAUGAAAUAUAAUUACCAAAAAGAGUAUAUCAAGUCUUUACAAGGGUAGAAUUGAAUUCAAGUUUCUGUUUUGUCUCGAUGAGCAAGAAAAUGAUCUUUUCAUAGGAACAGGAUUUUUGUGCAGAUGUUGUGUGAUGGAAGACCUGCCCAAUUGCUUGAAUGCAUCUUGCUUCGAAACAAUACCUGAACCAGGCUGUUCACUGUUUUCUUUCUGAUUAACCGAACUUCCCUCCAAUUCAAUUGCACUUGCAUUGGUUAGACUGAGAUACAUAGUUGCAGCUGUCAAAGAAUCCAUUGAAACAGAUCUUCUCACUGGCUGUAUUUCACUUUUUGCAAUCUGAAAAUCAUCACCAGACUCAUAAAUUUUCUCAUUGUCACCAUUUUCGGUAGAAUUUAUGUCUUCCUUCAUAAUUCUUUCGUUUCCAACAUGUACUAUUUCACCUCCCUCCUCUGUUCCAGCCCUGUUUUGUUCAUUUCUCUCCUGAGAAUUGCCUGAUUCACCAUCAACUUCAGAAUCGUCCAUUGGGGUUCUGACUACCGUGUUCUGAUUAUUAGGAUUCUGAUUUACCAAAAUAAGGGGAGUGGUCACAGGAUCAUUGACUAUAUGUGCGCGACACAAAGGACAAUUUGUGUGAGAUCUUAACCAAGUAUCAAUACAAGAAAUGUGGAAGGCAUGGUUGCACUUAGGCAAGAGCCUAAGAGUCUCAUCUUGUUGAAACUCACUCAAGCAAACUGAACAUUCGGUACCUUCAAUAAGCCCUUCGCCUUUCUUGUACUUGCAAACUGUGAUCGAAUUGAUAAUCGACUGUUGCAAACCUGCUGUCGUGAUAAACCAAAUCGGGUGAUCAACCUGGUUCUCGUCAAGAAACUCUUCAUCCAUAUUAUCCGCUUCAUCUUGUGGCUGCCUGUUGUUCCUUGAACUGCACCAACCAGGGCAGGACUUAGCUAUGAUAACAUAAUAGCUAACAACAAGGAAGAAACUGGCGAGCAAAGCAACUAUAAUGAUCACAUAAGGUGACAGGUGAUGCUCUGGGGGUAAGAGAGAAGGAGGAGGUGGAGGUGGUGGUGAUGGAGACAGGUAAUAGUAAUCUGCAUAAGGAUAGCAGUUAUAGGGGCAGGCUGGGUCGCAGAAGUCUGGACAAUCUCCAGUCUGGUUUGUUGCACUCAAAGCUGGGAAGAGUUUUCUGUGCUUCUUUGCCAUUAAAGAGACUGAAGAAUUCAAGAAAUUGAGACGCAAGUGAAGAAAGAGUAUGGGGUCAGUGAAGAGUUGUAUUUUCGUUUCAAUUGGAAGAGAAGAAAUCAACAAGAUUAAGCAACGUGUCCCUUUCAAGUUCUAGUGAAGAGUUAAGGCUGAUACGUUUGCCUUUUUGGCACUUUAAAGCUCCGUAUCUAGAAGUUCUACGCUUCCCUUUGUCUAAAAAUAAGCCCUCUUCUUCAUAAUGUACUUUUUUUUUGGGGUCUAUUUGUAAUAUAGUCUUUGUACCAUUAUGAUAUUUGAAAAUGGAAAAUAAUUAUAUACAUG
This 1888-nucleotide unclassified non-coding RNA is filed under the name Hevea brasiliensis (rubber tree). Lineage: Eukaryota; Viridiplantae; Streptophyta; Magnoliopsida; Malpighiales; Euphorbiaceae. The record is from RNAcentral.